RNAcentral lists this ribosomal RNA (805 nucleotides) under uncultured Actinobacillus sp. Its description in RNAcentral is "bacterial SSU rRNA". It matches the Rfam family "Bacterial small subunit ribosomal RNA", at positions 99 to 902 of the family's 1533-position model. Lineage: Bacteria; Pseudomonadati; Pseudomonadota; Gammaproteobacteria; Pasteurellales; Pasteurellaceae. The record is from RNAcentral.
CGGACGGGUGAGUAAUGCUUGGGAAUCUGGCUUAUGGAGGGGGAUAACUACGGGAAACUGUAGCUAAUACCGCGUAGUAUCGGAAGAUGAAAGUGUGGGACCGCAAGGCCACAUGCCAUAAGAUGAGCCCAAGUGGGAUUAGGUAGUUGGUUAGGUAAAGGCUGACCAAGCCGACGAUCUCUAGCUGGUCUGAGAGGAUGACCAGCCACACUGGAACUGAGACACGGUCCAGACUCCUACGGGAGGCAGCAGUGGGGAAUAUUGCACAAUGGGGGGAACCCUGAUGCAGCCAUGCCGCGUGAAUGAAGAAGGCCUUCGGGUUGUAAAGUUCUUUCGGUGAUGAGGAAGGUGUUUGUUUUAAUAGGACAAGCAAUUGACGUUAGUCACAGAAGAAGCACCGGCUAACUCCGUGCCAGCAGCCGCGGUAAUACGGAGGGUGCGAGCGUUAAUCGGAAUAACUGGGCGUAAAGGGCACGCAGGCGGUGACUUAAGUGAGAUGUGAAAGCCCCGGGCUUAACCUGGGAAUUGCAUUUCAUACUGGGUCGCUAGAGUACUUUAGGGAGGGGUAGAAUUCCACGUGUAGCGGUGAAAUGCGUAGAGAUGUGGAGGAAUACCGAAGGCGAAGGCAGCCCCUUGGGAAUGUACUGACGCUCAUGUGCGAAAGCGUGGGGAGCAAACAGGAUUAGAUACCCUGGUAGUCCACGCUGUAAACGCUGUCGAUUUGGGGAUUGGGUUUUAUGCUUGGUGGCCGUAGCUAACGUGAUAAAUCGACCGCCUGGGGAGUACGGGCGCAAGGUUUAAACUC